CGUAGGUGGCAAGCGUUGUCCGGAUUUAUUGGGUUUAAAGGGUGCGUAGGCGGCUUUGUAAGUCAGUGGUGAAAUAUGGCAGCUCAACUGUCAGGGUGCCAUUGAUACUGCAGAGCUUGAGUACAGAUGAGGUAGGCGGAAUUGACGGUGUAGCGGUGAAAUGCUUAGAUAUCGUCAAGAACACCGAUAGCGAAGGCAGCUUACUAGGCUGUAACUGACGCUGAGGCACGAAAGUGUGGGGAUCAAACAGGAUUAGAUACCCUGGUAGUCCACACUGUAAACGUUGAUGACUCGCCGUUGGCGAUACACGGCCAGCGGCAGAGAGAAAUCGUUAAGUCAUCCACCUGGGGAGUACGCCGGCAACGGUG
RNAcentral lists this ribosomal RNA (368 nucleotides) under uncultured organism. RNAcentral describes it as "bacterial SSU rRNA". It matches the Rfam family "Bacterial small subunit ribosomal RNA", at positions 526 to 896 of the family's 1533-position model. The record is from RNAcentral.